GUGCCAGCCGCCGCGGUAAUACGUAGGGGGCGAGCGUUGUCCGGAUUUAUUGGGCGUAAAGAGCUCGUAGGCGGUUUGGUAAGUCGGAUGUGAAAUCUCCAGGCUCAACUUGGAGCGGUCAUUCGAUACUGUCAUGACUAGAGUUCGGUAGGGGAGUGUGGAAUUUCUGGUGGAGCGGUGAAAUGCGCAGAUAUCAGAAGGAACACCCGUAGCGAAGGCGGCACUCUGGGCCGGAACUGACGCUGAGGAGCGAAAGCGUGGGGAGCGAACAGGAUUAGAUACCCGAGUAGUCC
RNAcentral lists this ribosomal RNA (293 nucleotides) under uncultured bacterium. RNAcentral's name for it is "partial 16S ribosomal RNA". It matches the Rfam family "Bacterial small subunit ribosomal RNA", at positions 505 to 796 of the family's 1533-position model. The record is from RNAcentral.